UGACGAUGCGACGCCGCGUGAGCGAAGAAGGCCCUAGGGUUGUAAAGCUCUGUCAGGGGUUAAGAAAUGUAGAUAGGUUAAUACCCUGUUUAUUUGACAAAAGCCCCAAAGGAAGCCACGGCUAACUCUGUGCCAGCAGCCGCGGUAAUACAGAGGUGGCAAGCGUUGUUCGGUAUUAUUGGGCGUAAAGAGCACGUAGGUGGUUUUGUAAGUCAGAUGUGAAAGCCUUCUGUUCAAAGGAAGAACGGCAUCUGAAACUGCAGAUCUUGAGUGUAGGAGGGGAGAGUGGAACUUCUGGUGGAGCGGUGAAAUGCGUAGAUAUCAGAAGGAACGUCGGCGGCGAAAGCGACUCUCUGGCCUAUUACUGACACUGAGUGUGCGAAAGUUAGGGGAGCAAACGGGAUUAGAUACCCCGGUAGUCCUAACCGUAAACGAUGGGCACUAAGUAGAGGG
This 453-nucleotide ribosomal RNA is filed under the name uncultured Planctomycetota bacterium. RNAcentral's name for it is "bacterial SSU rRNA". It matches the Rfam family "Bacterial small subunit ribosomal RNA", at positions 384 to 827 of the family's 1533-position model. The record is from RNAcentral. Lineage: Bacteria; Pseudomonadati; Planctomycetota.